AAAAAAAAAAAGGGAUCCCUAACCCUAGAGACCCCCAGUCGUUCCCCUCAUCUCACUUUCUUCUUCUUCACCCUUAAUACACACAACACCAAAAACCCUAAUCUCCAUAACCACCUUCAGCCGCCGGCCACCUCCUCACCUCUCACACACAAGACAUCUCCACCUUUCUUCUUCAACCUGAAGACACCAAAAAACCCUAGACAUCAAAGAACCUUAGAACACUGAACUAACCCUAAGCAGCUGUCCACCCUCUUCUACACAUACAAAACAGCCAACCAUCUCCAGCCGUCAAUGGACCACCACAACAACUAGCCAUCGCCGGAACAACCACCCACCAGACCCCUCCAUCGUCACUCUAACCUAGACCCUAACUGUCCCUAAGCCUGAGCCAUCCAAACUCCGUCCCCUCUUCACCCCAAUCAGCCCCAUCACUUGAAACCGGCGACUGAACACAGCCGCACCAGUCGUCCACACCACCUCAUCUCCGCUGCCGAGAAUCUUCACAGCCACCGACCCUCAUCUCUUCGAAACCAGCAGAAGCCGCGCGAGAGGGCAGCGACAAGAGGUCGCGAAAACAGAUCUGAGAAUUCUGUUUCUGUUUCUUUCAUAUUUCAAAAAAUGAUGUUUCUAUUUUGAGUUAGCUAGGAUUUGUGUUCCAGAAAAUAUAUACAAAAAAAAUAUUUUCAAUUUCAUCUUCAAUUCUGAUUUUUCUAAAAAAUGGAGUUAUGUGAGGUUCAAGUUUGAUUUUCGGUCUUGAUUCGAGGUGUUGUUCGCAGUGCGGUUCUCGAACCCGUUUGAGUUUGACUGCUGUCUCGAGUUUGUUAUAGCGUUCGCUCGAUUUUUGUCCGUGUAUUACUGGAAAAUUCAUCAAUUGAAAGUUCGAUUUUCAGUUUUCAUAGUUGCUGAAGUUCUGUUAAUUGGAAAGCAAUUUCAGUGCCGGCGAUGCCAAUCCAAUUUACAGGUGACCCGUUCGAGGUCCGGGUCUAGCUCUUAUCAUCUUAUUUCCAAUCGCAGUCCAUUUUUUCUGGUCAGUUGGCUAACAUUGGAGAUCUUGCAUUCAUUGAGGUUCUAAGGCAGGUGCAUCUGGAGUUCGUCCGGGCGCGUAUCCGCAUACCCGGAGGCUUAGUGGUAAGCUAUUUUUUCCAUGCUCUGUUCUGCAGCACCCAGAGUCUUCUCUUAUUAUGUUUUUUAUCAUUUCUGUCUAUUUUGUUUCAGACAAUAGUUCUUAGAGAGUUUUAUAUAUUAUAUUAGACGCUCGUGCACUUGUGACAUCGAGUUUUGGGAAUUCUAGUAGACACUCAUGGGUUUUAAUUAUUAAUUCACUAUCUUAUUUUCCCGAUUAGUUUAUGCUUUACAUUACUGUGCUCACUUUUUAUUUUUUCUCAUGUUAAAUAAAAGAAUCAAAGACUUUAAAAAUAUUAAAAUGAGAAAUUAAAUAGAAAGUUCACAGUUGGCUUGCCUAGCGGCGACGUUGUGCGCCAUCACGAUCUAUAGUGGAAAUUGGGUAGUGACAAUGAGCAUGUCUGAAGAAUAUUCUCAAUUCUAAGCCACUAAAGAUUAUUAAAAUCUAAAAUUUUAAGGAGCCUGGCAGGUGAAGAAAACAAAAGGAAAUUAUAUUCAUUAAACGUGCCUUAAAUCAUUAGAAGCAUAAAAAUAAAAUAAAUAUAGUAGAGGAGGGAAGAUCAAACUUGAAGAUGGAGAUAAAUAUACUAAUUAAUAAGAGAGAAGAAAAUUUUAUCAUAAUUUGUUCACUCAGUCGAACAACCUUGACUAAAUCCAAAAAAGCAUAUAGUUUAGAACACUUUACUAAGGAUAAUUAUACAUACUAUAUGGUAUACAUAAUACUUAAUACUUGAGUAGUACUUUUUACUCCAAGAACACUGUAUAUAAAGAGAUAUUAGGUCAGAUACAAAACAUAAUAUAUCAUAUUAUCUUCAUAAAAAUAUAUAUAAAUACAAAAGUUAUAUAAUUAACGUACAUAGAUUCUUAAUCUUUGCAAGUUCAGAAGAUACCCAGUAACUCUACGUUCAACAAUUUCGCCAAUGUAACAUUUAUUUUUAAUUUAAAUAAAUAUUGCAUUUAUCUCGACGUCAAUUGGUAUUGCACACAAUUCAUUCUUAUUCUCAAUUUUAUUCCCUUUUUAUUAAUAGACGUAAAAAAAUACGUGCAACGCACGUACACUAAAACUAGUUAUAACAAAAAUAACUAAAGGCAAAAUCAUCGAUCAUAUCAAUAUAUAUAUAUAUAUAUAUAUAUAUAUAUAUUAUAUUAUUAUACUAAAAGUAAGAAGCCUCUAUGUUAAAAGUUAAAUUACAAAAAUAUCCAUAAAAAACCGAGUGACUAUUUUCCCUUAAUCAAACACUAUAAACUCCUAUAAUCAAUAUAAAUUCUACAUUAAUUCUGUAUACAUGUGCAUGCAUUUUUUCAAAUAGAAAUGAAUUCAGGUAAAUAACUUCCUUCAGUUAAUACUAGAAACUAUAUACACUGUAUUAGGUUUGCCUUUUCUUUUCUUUGAGUAAAAAAGCGCUUGCUACCAGUUCAUGGAUGAAAGAAUGACUUUUAAGUUUCUUCUUUUAUUUUAUUUAUUUCAUCCAAGUAAGUUAUAGGCGUUUCAGUUUCUCUUCUUCAUUUCAUUAUUUAUGACGCAUUUAUUUUGAGUUUUAAGAGUAACCAAUAUUAAAAGGCCCAAAGAUACCUAGGCAGCAGAAGCAUCAAACUCCAAAAUUGUGCUUGGCGAAAAUGAUUAUCUCAGUUUGCUGUUUCACCUGGGUGAAGGUGUUGACUAAGAUAAAGUUUGCCGAGUUAUGUAGCUAAGAGCUGCAUUUUAUACGGUUUUGUAAUGUAUACCAAGUUGAUGAAGUGUCGUUGUGAUAGGUAGCAAGUGGUGUAAAUAGUUUGUACAUUCUUGUCCUCAUGUAUGUGAAGUUAAUCAUUUUUCUUUCAAUUUUACAUCUGCAUAUAUCUAUGUUUAACACUACAGUAUGAAGGUUUACUUUACAAAACAGUU
Molecule: long non-coding RNA, 3007 nt
Organism: Nicotiana attenuata
Lineage: Eukaryota; Viridiplantae; Streptophyta; Magnoliopsida; Solanales; Solanaceae
Exons: 3
Source: RefSeq, a predicted model, not a curated record